ACGGGGCCCGCACAAGCGGUGGAGCAUGUGGUUUAAUUCGACGCAACGCGAAGAACCUUACCAGGGCUUGACAUCCCCUGACCGCGUAUGAAAGUACGUUUUCACCCUCGGGUGACAGGGAGACAGGUGCUGCAUGGCUGUCGUCAGCUCGUGUCGUGAGAUGUUGGGUUAAGUCCCGCAACGAGCGCAACCCUUGUCUUUAGUUGCCAGCAUUCAGUUGGGCACUCUAAAGAGACUGCCGGUGUCAAACUGGAGGAAGGUGGGAUGACGUCAAGUCAUCAUGGCCCUUACGACCAGGGCUACACACGUGCUACAAUGGCGCAUACAAAGAGAAGCGAUCUCGCGAGAGCAAGCGGACCUCAUAAAGUGCGUCGUAGUCCGGAUUGGAGUCUGCAACUCGACUCCAUGAAGUCGGAAUCGCUAGUAAUCGUGGAUCAGAAUGCCACGGUGAAUACGUUCCCGGGCCUU
This 468-nucleotide ribosomal RNA is filed under the name uncultured Peptostreptococcaceae bacterium. RNAcentral's name for it is "bacterial SSU rRNA". It matches the Rfam family "Bacterial small subunit ribosomal RNA", at positions 916 to 1381 of the family's 1533-position model. Lineage: Bacteria; Bacillati; Bacillota; Clostridia; Peptostreptococcales; Peptostreptococcaceae. The record is from RNAcentral.